GAAUGCCGUGUGAUGGGAAACUAUCAUGCACGGUGUGGGACGGGGGAAAAGAUGGAGAUAACAUAAAAAUCUUACCUAUCGUCAU
Molecule: non-coding RNA, 85 nt
Organism: Oscillibacter valericigenes Sjm18-20
Lineage: Bacteria; Bacillati; Bacillota; Clostridia; Eubacteriales; Oscillospiraceae
Source: Rfam